RNAcentral lists this long non-coding RNA (1723 nucleotides) under Zea mays. RNAcentral describes it as "long non-coding RNA (ZMAY_LNC004972)". The record is from RNAcentral. Lineage: Eukaryota; Viridiplantae; Streptophyta; Magnoliopsida; Poales; Poaceae.
AAAUUGACAUCAAAAUCAGCUGGAUCAUAAAUCAGGCAUCAAUGUUUUGUUUAGCCAUAUUUUACACAAAUUGCUUGGGAUUCAUGUGUACCAAAACUUCAUGGUUGUCAGUUUUAAAUACCAGUGGUCCAAAAAUAGCACACACACACAUCAUUCAUUGCAAAUUCGAGCAUCAUAUUAGUAAGUGUUGCCUCUACAUAAAAGUAAGAAGUUCAUUUCUUCGGCAGCAACAUUAGCAGGAGAUAGCCUGCAUCUUCGCUGGACACAAUAGCAACAUGUUAAGAAAGAAAGCUUCGCUGGACAUGUUAAGAAACAAAGCUUUAUCAGCAGAUGUUUCAUAAAGCUUGUAGGAAAUGUUUCAUGAGAAGCAGCCUCAAACUUAUCGGUCAAAUGGUUUAAACAAUAAAUACCUGAAUGUAGAAUCUGAUCGUGUAAAUCCCUUCUUCGUUGUGCUCAGGAGUGAUUAUAACCUCUGAUAUACAGGGAGUAGCACCAAGAAUUUAUUGUGGAAAAAUAAUAUCAUAAGGUUUCUAGUUCAAAGGUACUUUUAGUAUGCUAUUACUGAUUAUAGGAAGAAGCACCAAAAAUUUAUCAGCACUAUGGAUCUAGUUAUUCAGCACUGAUUAUAGGGAGAAGCACCAAAGAGCGAUAAGAAUCCCUCCAUCCUAAAUAACAUCACCGCAUCCUAUAUGGAUCUAGUUAUUCAUAAAGUAAAUAAUUUCACUCUAACUAAGAAGAAACAAACGAUCUGCACAACUGAGCUUAUUAGGAAAACUUGACCACAUAUUAUAUAAUCAUCUAGUAUCCAUCAACAGUAACAGCAAUCAGGGAGAAUGCGUCUAGGAAUUUCUUAGUCAGAUCAUACCAUUUAUAAUUGAAAUAAAUAAAAAUCAGUCAGAUUCUAAGAACAACACAAGGAUUCAAAGGCAACAUUAAAGAAACAAGGUAAAAGCCAAAUUAAAAGAAGCGAUCGAUCACCUGACUUCAUUGCCAUCAUCAUUAAAGGUAUCCAGAUUCGAUCCAAGCUUCAUGAACUUCAUCUUGAACAUGAAAGAAGAGCCGCAUAGCUUCACGAUCCUCUAGACCAAUGCUCACACAGAGACCAGACCACUACCACCAUCACCACUUGUAAGAAACAAGAACUGCACAGCAUAGAAGCACUUUGUUUGUUGCAAACACCAGGAAGUGUCGAAGAUGACAUAGCAGAAGCACUCUGAUCCUACCAUUUACAAGGGACAUACUGUUGAGCCUAUUGAUUAUAUGAAUACCAAACUUCAAAGUUGCAGUCAUAGUAAAGACCUGCAACAAACAAGAUUACAUGUUGGGUCGUAUCAUCUUGUCUUCUGAUUUUAUAGCGCUGCAUAGUGGAGUCUAUUUACUUGCUAUAUUUUUUGUCACACCAUAGCUGGCUUCGGGAGCAGAAAACUUUUCAGUGAAUUACCCAACGAACAUAUUUUAUUUGUCUUUGAGAACAUCUUUAAUCUUUUAUUUUCAUCUGGACAGAAUUCUUAGUUCAUUUGGCUGACAUAUUAGAGAAUCUAUAACUACUGAAUGGUCUGUUUUUCGAUAAAAUCUAUUGCAAACAAUCGCUACUAUCAGCUAAAAUUAUAUUAUAAGCAUGCAUAUGUAUUUAUGAUCGAUAAUUAUCCUGUCUUAUACUAAAAUAUUUUGCUUACUUCAGAAGAGGCAAGUAUAUUAUGCAGCACUGAUUUGACUUGUCUAC